ACAAGAUUUCCAUCAAAUCUUUCUCUACAAACCCUGAAAUUAUCGAUACAAAAAUCUCCUUUUUGGGAGAAAGAUCCUCCUCGCCCCUGUCUACAGAACAGUGCAGCCCACAGCUGAGGACGAGCCUCUGUUUUUCCAGUGGGCUACGAGCUCCGGUCGGAUGCUUGCAAAAAGACGAAGCUCCUCUCUAUGGGCAGACUGUGUUCAUCUGCAGUGAGUGCCUCUGCUCAGUCUGAGAUCCUCACCUCAAGAUGUUGGUGAAAUGCUCUUAUGAGUCAGGCUUUUGCAUGGUGAAUAACAAAGUGGGGAAACCUUCAGUGGACAAACAGCUGCUUGUGAAAUUUAAGCUGGACUCUACAGUAGGUAUUGUUGGGGAGCAGUGAUCGACAUGUAAUCAAACUAGCAGGUUAACUACAUUUUGCAGUAGCUUGCUGGUAGUUCAACUAUGUUCAUAUUUGCAUAGUUAUUUGGGUAGUUAAAAUACUUUUCCCAUUGUUUGUGUAGUUAACCAUUCAGACUAUAAACAAUUUUGAGCCAUAAGGGAAAAGGAGUCAUGUUCUUUCUUUUUAUUUUAUGUAUGUGAGCAUCAUUGGUAAGGACAUGUUCAGUGUCACACAGAAUGUCCUGUUGGAUAAGAACUUUGAAAGGCUGCUCAUGUGUAGUUUAAAGAAGAGAUUCUGCUUUGACUAGUACACAGAGGACCAUUACUUUAGACCAGUAUUCAAGCUGUUCACACUGUCUGAAAUACUGCAAGUUGAAGACUGUUUUAGUUGGUAAGACUGUUACAAUCUUACAGCUGUUACAAAACGGACAAGACAGACUUUUUUUUAGACCAGUGCUCAAGUUGGUCAAAUGGACUAAGAAGGUGCAAGUGAUGUUUUUAUUUAUGUACUUUUUUUAAUCAUAUAAGACAAAAUUCAGAUUUGUUUACAUCAAAAAUAUAGCCUUCCUUGCAGUGUUGUCCUUGUGAAAAGCCCAUAGGACUGUUUUAUUUAGGACAGAUUAGGUCUCAGGUAAGAAGAUCAACUGGGCUGCAUUUUUUUCUGUAAUGUGGAUUUUUUGUUUAUUUUAUUAGAAUUUUGUCUCAUAUGCACAUUGUCAAUUUGUUCAUUCUUUUUUUACAACAUAGUUUGAACUACUUUGUCUAAAUAGCUGUAGUUUAACCAAACUAGGUUUCUCUCCAGGGUAGGGUAGGUAACACCUUCCAGUGUGAAGUCAGUGGUAGCUUGCAAAGCUAUGCUUUCUCAGUAGCCUCCCCAGCACUGACAGUAGGUAUUAUAAAAUCAAA
Molecule: long non-coding RNA, 1288 nt
Organism: Monopterus albus (swamp eel)
Lineage: Eukaryota; Metazoa; Chordata; Actinopteri; Synbranchiformes; Synbranchidae
Exons: 3
Source: RefSeq, a predicted model, not a curated record